RNAcentral lists this ribosomal RNA (492 nucleotides) under uncultured bacterium. RNAcentral's name for it is "partial 16S ribosomal RNA". It matches the Rfam family "Bacterial small subunit ribosomal RNA", at positions 29 to 507 of the family's 1533-position model. The record is from RNAcentral.
AGUGAACGCUGGCGGUAGGCCUAACACAUGCAAGUCGAACGGCAGCACAGUAAGAGCUUGCUCUUACGGGUGGCGAGUGGCGGACGGGUGAGGAAUACAUCGGCAUCUACUUUUUCGUGGGGGAUAACGUAGGGAAACUUACGCUACUACCGCAUACGACCUACGGGUGAAAGCAGGGGAUCUUCGGACCUUGCGCGAUUGAAUGAGCCGAUGUCGGAUUAGCUAGUUGGCGGGGUAAAGGCCCACCAAGGCAACGAUCCGUAGCUGGUCUGAGAGGAUGAUCGGCCACACUGGAACUGAGACACGGUCCAGACUCCUACGGGAGGCAGCAGUGGGGAAUAUUGGACAAAGGGCGCAAGCCUGAUCCAGCCAUACCGCGUGAGUGAAGAAGCCCUUCGGGUUGUAAAGCCCUUUUGUUGGGAAAGAAAAGCAGCAGGUUAAUACCCCGCUGUUCUGACGGUACCCAAAGAAUGAGCACCGGCUAACUUCGUG